RNAcentral lists this ribosomal RNA (253 nucleotides) under uncultured bacterium. RNAcentral describes it as "partial 16S ribosomal RNA". It matches the Rfam family "Bacterial small subunit ribosomal RNA", at positions 524 to 776 of the family's 1533-position model. The record is from RNAcentral.
UACAGAGGUCCCGAGCGUUGUUCGGAUUCACUGGGCGUAAAGGGUGCGUAGGUGGUGAGGUAAGUCGGAUGUGAAAUCUCCGGGCUCAACCCGGAAAUGGCAUUGGAAACUACCUUGCUUGAGGAUUUGAGGGGGGAUUGGAAUACUUGGUGUAGCAGUGAAAUGCGUAGAUAUCAAGUGGAACACCAGUGGCGAAGGCGGCUCACUGGACCGGAACUGACGCUGAGGCGCGAAAGCGUGGGGAGCAAACGGG